RNAcentral lists this ribosomal RNA (253 nucleotides) under uncultured bacterium. Its description in RNAcentral is "partial 16S ribosomal RNA". It matches the Rfam family "Bacterial small subunit ribosomal RNA", at positions 524 to 776 of the family's 1533-position model. The record is from RNAcentral.
UACGAAGGGGGCUAGCGUUGCUCGGAAUCACUGGGCGUAAAGCGCACGUAGGCGGACUCUUAAGUCGGUGGUGAAAUCCUGGAGCUCAACUCCAGAACUGCCUUCGAUACUGAGAGUCUCGAGUCCGGGAGAGGUGAGUGGAACUGCGAGUGUAGAGGUGAAAUUCGUAGAUAUUCGCAAGAACACCAGUGGCGAAGGCGGCUCUCUGGGACGGUACUGACGCUGAGACGCGAAAGCUUGGGGAGCAAACAGG